AACGAACGCUGGCGGCGUGCUUAAGACAUGCAAGUCGUACGGAAAGGCCCCUUCGGGGGUACUCGAGUGGCGCACGGGUGAGUAACGCGUGGAUAAUCUGCCUUUGGGUUUGGGACAACCCCGGGAAACUGGGGCUAAUACCGAAUAAGACUACGACGUCCUUGGACGAUGUGGAAAAAGAUGGCCUCUCGUAGAAGCUAUCGCCCAUUGAUGAGUCCGCGUCCCAUUAGCUUGUUGGUGAGGUAACGGCUCACCAAGGCAACUAUGGGUAGCUGGUCUGAGAGGAUGAUCAGCCACACUGGAACUGAGACACGGUCCAG
RNAcentral lists this ribosomal RNA (320 nucleotides) under uncultured bacterium. RNAcentral describes it as "bacterial SSU rRNA". It matches the Rfam family "Bacterial small subunit ribosomal RNA", at positions 29 to 334 of the family's 1533-position model. The record is from RNAcentral.